CGGAAGUUUAUACAUGAGAGGGUUUGGUAGCCUGUACAUCUAUAGGUUAACUAAUGAGGUAAAGGUAUGGCGGAAGUUUAUACAUGAGAGGGUUUGGUAGCCCGUACAUGAAGGCUUUUAUAGACAAAAAGGUUGAGGGGACUUCAAGGAAGGUCAGCCUACUUUCUGAUACAAAAUGCAAUAAUGUGUACUGAACCUAUCGCCCGUAAUAAAGCACAAUGCUCUGUGAUAAACUGUGUCCAGUACAGUGGCAGCUGCAUUCAUAUAGGCAUGUUCAGAAUUGUUUUCUGCUAUUUAACGAAAGAGAGGACCUGUUCCUAUAGAAUAAACCUAUUUUAAUUCUUAAUUUCUUAACUAGCCAGCUGUGGGGACAAUAGCUAACACCACAGUUUCAUCUGCAUACAGGUGAAAGUACAAUUUUUUUUUUUUUUUUUUUUUUUUUACAGAUAAACCAAUAUUGUUAAUGAAAAUAGUCAAAAGAACCGGACCAAGAAUCGAUCCCUGUGGGACACCCUUUGUUAUAUCCAGAUUUAACUCCAUCAGUUAAUACACACUGGGUUAUUUAAAUCAUUUUCAAACCAGCUACACACAGCCUGGUCCAGUCCAAUUUAUGAAAGCCUCUGAAUGAGUAAUAGGUAUGGACUUUAGACAGGUCAAUAAAAAGGGCUGAAACAAUGUUUCUUCUUAUCCAAACAAUCAAGACACAAUUGAAUACCAAAGAAGUAGCAGAGAUGGUACUAUAACCUGGUCUUAAAGCCUGACUGGUGUACAUUUAGAAUACAUUUUGUAGUUAACAAGUUGAGUAUUUACCAAGGAUUCUAGAAUUUUUGCAAAAGAGUUUGGAAAUGGGGCAACAAGGUCACCACCCUUGUGAAGGGGGAAUAUAUGGGCCGGCCGCCUUCCAGACCCUAGGGAUGGUAUCAUGUGUGAAAGAUUUUGCAAUCAGGAUCAGAUAUUUGCAGCAAGAAAGUAUAAAGCAAAUCAACCCCAGUGGAUUUUUGUUUUACAUACAUCUUGUGUUAAUA
Long non-coding RNA from Oncorhynchus tshawytscha (Chinook salmon), 1025 nucleotides. The record is from Ensembl. Lineage: Eukaryota; Metazoa; Chordata; Actinopteri; Salmoniformes; Salmonidae.